Molecule: transfer RNA, 77 nt
Filed under: Otolemur garnettii (small-eared galago)
Lineage: Eukaryota; Metazoa; Chordata; Mammalia; Primates; Galagidae
Rfam family: tRNA
About the family: Transfer RNA (tRNA) molecules are approximately 80 nucleotides in length. Their secondary structure includes four short double-helical elements and three loops (D, anti-codon, and T loops). Further hydrogen bonds mediate the characteristic L-shaped molecular structure. tRNAs have two regions of fundamental functional importance: the anti-codon, which is responsible for specific mRNA codon recognition, and the 3' end, to which the tRNAs corresponding amino acid is attached (by aminoacyl-tRNA synthetases). tRNAs cope with the degeneracy of the genetic code in two manners: having more than one tRNA (with a specific anti-codon) for a particular amino acid; and 'wobble' base-pairing, i.e. permitting non-standard base-pairing at the 3rd anti-codon position.
Source: Rfam by way of RNAcentral
GCUUAUGUGGCUCAAAGGAGUAGGGCGCCGGCCUCAUAUGCUGGAGGUGGCAGGUUCAAAAGCCCUGGCCAAAAACA